This 852-nucleotide long non-coding RNA is filed under the name Rattus norvegicus (Norway rat). RNAcentral describes it as "long non-coding RNA NONRATT002325". The record is from RNAcentral. Lineage: Eukaryota; Metazoa; Chordata; Mammalia; Rodentia; Muridae.
GUAGUUGACUGGCACUCAGGUGCUAGGCACCAAUAUUCUAAGUUUGGAACUUUAAAAAUGUUAUCUUUAUUUUCAUUUAUGUGUGUGUUUGAGUGCAUGCAUGAACAGGUCUGUGAAUCUCAAGGAGCUGAAGUUAGUUAUGAGCCACCAUGUGGGUCCGGGGGACUGAAGCAGGGUCCUCUGGAAGAGCAGCCAGUGCUUUUAACAGCAGAAUCAUCUCUUCAGGCUGCAUACUCAGCUUUUUGUGUUAAGUUUAACAGCUGAAAUAUUCUCUCCAGGUCAAGUACUCAGGCUUUUUUUGUUAAGCUUCGGGGACUCAAAUUCAGGUCCUUAUUGUUUGUCCAGAAAGCUCUCUUACUCAUUGAGCCAUUCCCCAACCCUUGCUUUUCAUUUUAAGACAGUCUCUCUACCCUGAACUCAUUCUGCUGUCCCAUGAACUUGCCAUCCUCCUGCCUCAGUGCCUCUUGAGAAGGUAGAUAGGGUUAGUCAUGAACAGCACUACCCAGAUUUUUUUUUCCCUUUUAGUGUGUGUGUGUGUGUGUGUGUGUGUGUGUGUGUGGUAUACAGGCAAUGCCACCGGCCUGCUCUCAGGGAUCCAGCAAGUGCUUACAUCAUGACCUAUGGCAGCCAGAUAUACCAGGUUUGCAGUAGAUAGGACCCACCUGCCACCCCAACUCGCUCUCUCUGUUCUCCACUGCCAACUUUCCCUCUCUCUCAUUCUCUGCUCCCCCUGCUCUGCCCUCAUGGCACUGCUCCCCAUCCGUCUACCUGUAUACGUGUCCACUUGUCUGCCUCUGUCACUUCCCCAAGUCUACACUUCCCUUGCCUCCCCCAAUAAACCUAUACACCAGA